Molecule: transfer RNA, 73 nt
Filed under: Lachnospiraceae bacterium
Lineage: Bacteria; Bacillati; Bacillota; Clostridia; Lachnospirales; Lachnospiraceae
Description: tRNA-Gln
Rfam family: tRNA
About the family: Transfer RNA (tRNA) molecules are approximately 80 nucleotides in length. Their secondary structure includes four short double-helical elements and three loops (D, anti-codon, and T loops). Further hydrogen bonds mediate the characteristic L-shaped molecular structure. tRNAs have two regions of fundamental functional importance: the anti-codon, which is responsible for specific mRNA codon recognition, and the 3' end, to which the tRNAs corresponding amino acid is attached (by aminoacyl-tRNA synthetases). tRNAs cope with the degeneracy of the genetic code in two manners: having more than one tRNA (with a specific anti-codon) for a particular amino acid; and 'wobble' base-pairing, i.e. permitting non-standard base-pairing at the 3rd anti-codon position.
Source: RNAcentral
AGGGCUAUCGCCAAGCGGUAAGGCACAGCACUUUGACUGCUGCAUUACGGUGGUUCGAAUCCACCUAGCCCUG